UCUAUCCUUGGGUGGGGGGACAACCGUGGGAAACUACGGCUAAUACCGCAUGAUCCCGUGAGGGGGCAAAAGGCGAAAGUCGCCUGAGGAGGAGCCUGCGUCUGAUUAGGUAGUUGGUGGGGUAAAAGGGCCUACCAAGCCCUGCGAUCAGUAGCCUGGUCUGAGAGGAUGAUCAGCCACAUUGGGACUGAGACACGGCCCAAACUCCUACGGGAGGCAGCAGUGGGGAAUAUUGGACAAUGGGGCGCAAGCCUGAUCCAGCAAUGCCGCGUGGGUGAAGAAGGUCUUCGGAUUGUAAAGCCCUUUUGGCGGGGACGAUGAUGACGGUACCCGCAGAAUAAGCUCCGGCUAACUUCGUG
RNAcentral lists this ribosomal RNA (359 nucleotides) under uncultured bacterium. Its description in RNAcentral is "bacterial SSU rRNA". It matches the Rfam family "Bacterial small subunit ribosomal RNA", at positions 125 to 507 of the family's 1533-position model. The record is from RNAcentral.